Molecule: ribosomal RNA, 497 nt
Filed under: uncultured bacterium
Lineage: Bacteria
Description: partial 16S ribosomal RNA
Rfam family: Bacterial small subunit ribosomal RNA
Source: RNAcentral
GAUGAACGCUGGCGGCGUGCCUAAUACAUGCAAGUCGAGCGAACAGACGAGGAGCUUGCUCCUCUGACGUUAGCGGCGGACGGGUGAGUAACACGUGGAUAACCUACCUAUAAGACUGGGAUAACUUCGGGAAACCGGAGCUAAUACCGGAUAAUAUAUUGAACCGCAUGGUUCAAUAGUGAAAGACGGUUUUGCUGUCACUUAUAGAUGGAUCCGCGCCGCAUUAGCUAGUUGGUAAGGUAACGGCUUACCAAGGCGACGAUGCGUAGCCGACCUGAGAGGGUGAUCGGCCACACUGGAACUGAGACACGGUCCAGACUACUACGGGAGGCAGCAGUAGGGAAUCUUCCGCAAUGGGCGAAAGCCUGACGGAGCAACGCCGCGUGAGUGAUGAAGGUCUUCGGAUCGUAAAACUCUGUUAUUAGGGAAGAACAAAUGUGUAAGUAACUAUGCACGUUUUGACGGUACCUAAUCAGAAAGCCACGGCUAACUACGUG